RNAcentral lists this ribosomal RNA (254 nucleotides) under uncultured bacterium. RNAcentral's name for it is "partial 16S ribosomal RNA". It matches the Rfam family "Bacterial small subunit ribosomal RNA", at positions 524 to 776 of the family's 1533-position model. The record is from RNAcentral.
UACGAGUGCCUCGAGCGUUAUCCGGAAUCAUUGGGCGUAAAGGGUGUGUAGGCGGUUGUAUUAGUCUCGUGUAAAAUUCUUCGGCUCAACCGGGGGCGCGCACGGGAAACGGUACGACUGAGAGGAUGGAAGGGGUCUCCGGAACUCAUGGUGUAGCGGUGAAAUGCGUUGAUAUCAUGGGGAACACCAAAAGCGAAGGCAAGAGACUGGUCCACUCCUGACGCUGAAACACGAAAGCGUGGGUCGCGAAUGGG